AUGCCAAGUGUGGCUGUAAAACUCUACAGCGUAUUCUUCAAGUUCCUCUUGAAGCACCGUUUACAAAACCGGAUUCAAGCCCAACCCGACAAUAACUCCAACUCGUUUGGUAUCACUUCACGACCCGAAGAAUCCGUCGCUAACUCUAACCCUUCUUUUACCGACGGCGUCGCCACCAAGGAUAUCCACAUCGAUCCUUUCACUUCUCUCUAUCCGAAUCUUUCUUCCUCACUCCGCUCUUUCUCCUCCCGAGCCACAUUCCAAACCUAA
Non-coding RNA from Vicia faba (fava bean), 270 nucleotides. Lineage: Eukaryota; Viridiplantae; Streptophyta; Magnoliopsida; Fabales; Fabaceae. The record is from the annotation of a GenBank genome assembly.